GAUGAACGCUGGCGGCGUGCUUAACACAUGCAAGUCGAACGGAAAGGCCCAAGCUUGCUUGGGUACUCGAGUGGCGAACGGGUGAGUAACACGUGGGUGAUCUGCCCUGCACCUUGGGAUAAGCCCGGGAAACUGGGGCUAAUACCGGAUAGGACCACUUCUUGCAUGUUGUGGUGGAAAGUUUUUUGGGUGUGGGAUUGGCCCGCGGCCUUUUUGCUUUUUGGGGGGGUAAUGGCCUUCCAAGGGGUCGUCGGGGAGCCGGCCUGGGAGGGGGUACGGCCCAAUUGGGACUGGGAUAAGGGCCAGGAUCCUAAGGGGGGGAGGAGGGGGGAAAAAUGCACAAAGGGCGGGAGCCGGAUGCAGCGACGGCGGGGGGGGGGUGACGGGCUUCGGGUUGUAAACUCCUUUCGCUAGGGACGGAACGGUUUGUGACGGUACCUGGUGAAGAAGCACCGGCUAACUACGUG
This 467-nucleotide ribosomal RNA is filed under the name uncultured bacterium. RNAcentral's name for it is "partial 16S ribosomal RNA". It matches the Rfam family "Bacterial small subunit ribosomal RNA", at positions 28 to 507 of the family's 1533-position model. The record is from RNAcentral.